This 1422-nucleotide ribosomal RNA is filed under the name uncultured Bordetella sp. RNAcentral describes it as "partial 16S-23S ribosomal RNA intergenic spacer". It matches the Rfam family "Bacterial small subunit ribosomal RNA". The record is from RNAcentral. Lineage: Bacteria; Pseudomonadati; Pseudomonadota; Betaproteobacteria; Burkholderiales; Alcaligenaceae.
AGUCGAACGGCAGCACGGACUUCGGUCUGGUGGCGAGUGGCGAACGGGUGAGAAUAUCGGAACGUGCCUAGUAGCGGGGGAUAACUACAAAGCGUAGCUCAAUACCGCAUGGCCCUUCGGGGGAAAGCGGGGGACCUUCGGGCCUCGCACUAUUAGAGCGGCCGAUAUCGGAUUAGCUAGUUGGUGGGGUAACGGCUCACCAAGGCGACGAUCCGUAGCUGGUUUGAGAGGACGACCAGCCACACUGGGACUGGAGACACGGUCAGACUCACGGGAGGCAGCAGUGGGGAAUUUUGGACAAUGGGGGAAACCCCUGAUCCGUGCCAUCCUCCCGCGUGUGCGAUGAAGGCCUUCUUUGCCGGUAAAGCACUUUCGGCAGGAAAGAAAACGGCACGGGAUAAUACCCCGUGCAACUGACGGUACCUGCAGAAUAAGCACCGGCCAACUACGUCAGCAGCCGCGGUAAUAUGUAGGGUGCAAGCGUUAAUCGGAAUUACCGCGUAAGCGUGCGCAGGCGGUUCGGAAAGAAAGAUGUGAACCAGAGCUUAACUGGAACUGCAUUUUUAACUACCGAGCUUAGAUAAAGUGUGUCAGAGGGAGGUGGAAUUCCGCCAGCGUAGCAGUGAAAUGCGUAAAGAUAUGCAGAGGAACACCGAUGGCGAAGGCAGCCUCCUGGGAUAACACUGACGCUCAUGCACGAAAGCGUGGGGAGCAAACAGGAUUAGAUACCCUGGUAGUCCACGCCCUAAACGAUGUCAACUAGCUGUUGGGGCCUUCGGGCCUUCAAGCGCAGCUAACGCGUGAAGUUAACGCCUGGGAGUACGGUCGCAAGAUUAAAACUCAAAGGAAUUGACGGGACCCGCACAAGCGGAUGAUGUGGAUUAAUUCGAUGCAACGCGAAAACCUUACCUACCCUUGACAUGUCUGAAUCCCGAAGAGAUUUGGGAGCGUGCUCGCAAGAGAACCGGAACACAGGUGCUGCAUGGCUAUCGUCAGCUCGUGUCGAGAUGUUGGGUUAAGUCCCGCAACGAGCGCAACCCUUGUCAUUAGUUGCUACGAAAGGGCACUCUUAAUGAGACUGCCGGUGACAAACCGAGGAAGGAUGACGUCAAGUCCUCAUCUCUAUGUAGGCCUUCACACGUCAUACAAUGGUCGGGACAGAGGGUCGCCAACCCGCGAGGGGAGCCAGAUCCCAGAAACCUGAUCGUAGUCCGGAUCGCAGUCUGCAACUCGACUGCGUGAAGUCGGAAUCGCUAGUAAUCGCGGAUCAGCAUGUCGCGGUGAAUACGUUCCCGGGUCUUGUACACACCGCCCGUCACACCAUGGGAGUGGGUUUUACCAGAAGUAGUUAGCCUAACCGUAAGGAGUGGCGAUUACCACGGUAGGAUUCAUGACUGGGGUGGGAAAGCCGUAACAAGGUAA